RNAcentral lists this long non-coding RNA (222 nucleotides) under Homo sapiens (human). Its description in RNAcentral is "non-protein coding lnc-TRAPPC6A-2:1". The record is from RNAcentral. Lineage: Eukaryota; Metazoa; Chordata; Mammalia; Primates; Hominidae.
CCGGGUGACUAGUUGUACAUUUUAAAGUAACUAAAAGAAGCCGGGCGCUGUGGCUCACACCUGUAAUCCCAGCACUUUGGGAGGCUGAGAUGGGGGACUGCUUGAGGCCAAGAGUUCUGUACAAGCCUGGUCAACAUGGCAGAGACUAUCUCUAUUAAAAAGAAAAAAAAUAACGAAAAGGGUGUAAUUGACCAGUUGCGGUGGCUCAUGCCUAUAAUCCCA